This 76-nucleotide transfer RNA is filed under the name Armatimonadota bacterium. RNAcentral describes it as "Armatimonadetes bacterium (bioreactor metagenome) tRNA-Lys". It matches the Rfam family "tRNA". From Rfam's summary of the family: Transfer RNA (tRNA) molecules are approximately 80 nucleotides in length. Their secondary structure includes four short double-helical elements and three loops (D, anti-codon, and T loops). Lineage: Bacteria; Bacillati; Armatimonadota. The record is from RNAcentral.
GGGCCGGUAGCUUAGUCGGCAGAGCAGGGGACUCUUAAUCCCAAGGUCGAAGGUUCGAAUCCUUCUCGGCCCACCA